Molecule: transfer RNA, 74 nt
Filed under: Bacteroidales bacterium
Lineage: Bacteria; Pseudomonadati; Bacteroidota; Bacteroidia; Bacteroidales
Also listed under: 3 other names
Description: tRNA-Asn
Rfam family: tRNA
About the family: Transfer RNA (tRNA) molecules are approximately 80 nucleotides in length. Their secondary structure includes four short double-helical elements and three loops (D, anti-codon, and T loops). Further hydrogen bonds mediate the characteristic L-shaped molecular structure. tRNAs have two regions of fundamental functional importance: the anti-codon, which is responsible for specific mRNA codon recognition, and the 3' end, to which the tRNAs corresponding amino acid is attached (by aminoacyl-tRNA synthetases). tRNAs cope with the degeneracy of the genetic code in two manners: having more than one tRNA (with a specific anti-codon) for a particular amino acid; and 'wobble' base-pairing, i.e. permitting non-standard base-pairing at the 3rd anti-codon position.
Source: RNAcentral
UCCUGAAUAGCUCAGUUGGUUAGAGCAUCUGACUGUUAAUCAGAGGGUCGCAGGUUCAAGUCCUGCUUCAGGAG